GACGGAGGGUGCAAGCGUUGUUCGGAUUGACUGGGCGUAAAGGGCGUGUAGGCGGUUGGUCAAGUCUGAUGUGAAAGCCCGGGGCUCAGCUUCGGAAGUGCAUCGGAAACUAGCCAGCUGGAGCGCGAUAGAGGAGGGCGGAAUUCCUGGUGUAGCGGUGAAAUGCGUAGAUAUCAGGAGGAACACCGGCGGCGAAGGCGGCCCUCUGGAUCGUUGCUGACGCUGAGACGCGAAAGCGUGGGGAGCAAACAGG
Molecule: ribosomal RNA, 253 nt
Filed under: uncultured bacterium
Lineage: Bacteria
Description: partial 16S ribosomal RNA
Rfam family: Bacterial small subunit ribosomal RNA
Source: RNAcentral